Molecule: long non-coding RNA, 619 nt
Filed under: Homo sapiens (human)
Lineage: Eukaryota; Metazoa; Chordata; Mammalia; Primates; Hominidae
Description: HSALNT0313018
Source: RNAcentral
CUGGGUUCUGUUGUUGGCAACCAACAGAGUUGUUGUCUUUUCUCGCAUUCAUUAAAAUGCACAAGAAGAAAUUUCUAAUGGUGAGGGAGUACUUGCUUCAAAUUCAUACUUCAGUGAAAUAAACAACACCAUACAUAGGAAUGUGAAAGCAAAGUCAUCAUACACUGUUUGCUUCAUUGUAUGAGAAUCAAUGUUUGCAUGAUAAACUGCCCUAAUGGAAGAGGACUCUGAGUUACCUUUUUCGAGCAAAGCCACCUAGGUUACUCUGUUUUCCCCAGAGUGACCCUUCUGUUCUGCAAAUUUUCAGAUUGAAGGGAGUAGCAGUAGAGUAUCAGAAGUAUCAGAAGCAAAAAAGUAAAUGUAUGAUUUGCAAAGCAUAACAAAAUGAAAAAUAAGCUUCUGCAGUCAUGGAAGUUCAGAAUUGGAUAACAACUUAGAUUAUUUAUUCCAACCUCAUCGAAAAAGAGAUAAAGACAUGGAAUUCAGGAAAAGUGGGUAUACCAUACAGAUGCUGCUGUGGAUGCAGUAUUGGCCCCAGUCAGAGUCUUGCUACCAUGAGAAUCUCUGCUCCAGGCACUAUGGUCCUCCCUGGGCUUACUAAGCCAGACAAGCUUCCACA